Molecule: ribosomal RNA, 493 nt
Filed under: uncultured bacterium
Lineage: Bacteria
Description: partial 16S ribosomal RNA
Rfam family: Bacterial small subunit ribosomal RNA
Source: RNAcentral
AGUGAACGCUGGCGGUAGGCCUAACACAUGCAAGUCGAACGGCAGCACAGUAAGAGCUUGCUCUUACGGGUGGCGAGUGGCGGACGGGUGAGGAAUACAUCGGAAUCUACUUUUUUGUGGGGGAUAACGUAGGGAAACUUACGCUAAUACCGCAUACGACCUACGGGUGAAAGCAGGGGAUCUUCGGACCUUGCGCGAUUGAAUGAGCCGAUGUCGGAUUAGCUAGUUGGCGGGGUAAAGGCCCACCAAGGCGACGAUCCGUAGCUGGUCUGAGAGGAUGAUCAGCCACACUGGAACUGAGACACGGUCCAGACUCCUACGGGAGGCAGCAGUGGGGAAUAUUGGACAAUGGGCGCAAGCCUGAUCCAGCCAUACCGCGUGGGUGAAGAAGGCCGUCGGGUUGUAAAGCCCUUUUGUUGGGAAAGAAAAGCAGCAGGUUAAUACCCCGCUGUUCUGACGGUACCCAAAGAAUAAGCACCGGCUAACUUCGUGC